Molecule: ribosomal RNA, 253 nt
Filed under: uncultured bacterium
Lineage: Bacteria
Description: partial 16S ribosomal RNA
Rfam family: Bacterial small subunit ribosomal RNA
Source: RNAcentral
GACGAACCGUGCAAACGUUAUUCGGAUUCACUGGGCUUAAAGGGCGCGUAGGCGGGCCAUCCAGUCAGGGGUGAAAUCUUUCGGCUCAACCGGAAAAGUGCCUUUGAUACUGAUGGCCUCGAGGGAGGUAGGGGCAUGCGGAACUUCCGGUGGAGCGGUGAAAUGCGUAGAUAUCGGAAGGAACGCCGGUGGCGAAAGCGGCGUGCUGGACCUCUUCUGACGCUGAGGCGCGAAAGCUAGGGGAGCAAACGGG